RNAcentral lists this ribosomal RNA (154 nucleotides) under uncultured bacterium. RNAcentral describes it as "partial 16S ribosomal RNA". It matches the Rfam family "Bacterial small subunit ribosomal RNA", at positions 355 to 509 of the family's 1533-position model. The record is from RNAcentral.
UGGGGAAUAUUGCACAAUGGGCGCAAGCCUGAUGCAGCGACGCCGCGUGCGGGAUGGAGGCCUUCGGGUUGUAAACCGCUUUUGUUCAAGGGCAAGGCAGGCUUUCGGGCCUGUUGAGUGGAUUGUUCGAAUAAGUACCGGCUAACUACGUGCC